Molecule: ribosomal RNA, 253 nt
Filed under: uncultured bacterium
Lineage: Bacteria
Description: partial 16S ribosomal RNA
Rfam family: Bacterial small subunit ribosomal RNA
Source: RNAcentral
UACGAGGGGGGCAAGCGUUGUUCGGAAUUAUUGGGCGUAAAGGGCGCGUAGGCGGUGCGGUAAGUCACCUGUGAAAACUCUGGGCUCAACUCAGAGCCUGCAGGCGAAACUGCCGUGCUUGAGUGUGGGAGAGGUGCGUGGAAUUCUCGGUGUAGCAGUGAAAUGCGUAGAUAUCGAGAGGAACACCGGUGGCGAAGGCGAGUCCCUGGACAACACCUGACACUGAGGCACGAAAGCUAGGGGAGCAAACAGG